ACUCGUCGAUUUUGCAUCGGAAUAAGUGACAGCUUCUCUUCCGCGUCGUAGGCAAAUAAAAAAUAUUUUCGUAUUGUAUUCGAAUUCUUUUCUUCGUCCUUCCCUUUUUCUUUUUUUCUUUCUUUCUGCAACAGAAAAGGAAAUAGAUAAGAGAGAAAUUGUAAAUCGUUUUAUAACAAUCGUUCCUUUGUCGUACUGCAUGAAUUGAUUGAUAUGCACGUCGGGUGUCUGUGAAAAGUGAAACACAGUCGUUGACAUUUCAGAGUGAAAGUUAAUCCGUGGCUUAGAGAAAGAAAGAGAGAGAGAGAGAGAGAGAGAGAGAGAGAGAGAGAGGAGAGAGAGAGAGAGGAGAGAGAGAGAGAGGAGAGAGAGAGAGAGAGACAAGGUCCAAGCCGGUAUAAUCUCAUAAACUAGUAUCUGAAAAUUGUUACACGAGAUAAAUUUUUAGGCUAGAAAAAUAAUUUUUCAUUGAGAAACGAAAGAAAUCGAAAAAAAAAAAAGUAAUGAUAUUUAUUAAAGCGCAAUAUAAAAUUUAGUAAAAAUUUCACUUUGCAAAUUACUGCAAACAUUUAUGUAAAUUAAUUAAUUAAUUAAUUAAUUAAUUUAUUAAUUAAUAUUUUAAAAGUUAUGUUAAGCAAGACGAAUAAUAAUAUAAGUUGAGCAGAAUCGUUAUUUUAAUAGCAUAUUGUUACGAAACUUGUUAGUGGAAGUUAAUUAAUGAGUGCAAUUAGACGAUGUAAUUAUUUCUCUUAGAAGGAGCUUAUAUCUUUGCAAGUAUCAUCUAUAAUUCCACGUUAAAAUGAAUGUAUUCAAAUUAUCGGAAAAUGCGUCACUUUAGAUAUGGCGCCAAUUGAUUCCUGGAACAGAAUAUGCAAUAUAAGCUAGAGUGGGUCGAGUCGAUUGUAAACCAGUAUAGGAGUUUCGUAAGAACCUCCAUUUGGAGAAAGUUAUGAUCUGGCCAUAUUGCUCGCGCGUGUCCGGAUCUUAUUUUAUUUUCCAAUCCACUCGCUCUCUCUCUCUCUUUCUCUCUCACUCACACACGCACAUAUCAAAAACUUUCUGUUUUCGAAAGGAACACGCUCGAUUUUUUAAGAUCGUUACAGAAAAUUAACAAAAGUAUAAGAACUCGGUACGCGGACACGAGGAAGCUCACGAAACGACGUUCUGGUCUCUCUCUUUUAUUGACACGCCGGCCAUCUUAUCCAAACCGUGAAAUCGUACGCGUCACGUACCUACGGUAAACACAGGUAAAUAUCUAUCUCUUUCUCUUGCGAUAAGUCGACCUUCGAUUCGUUCAUUUGUCUACCAACGUUGUUAUAACUAACUUUAAGAGCCAUUACACACUGUCGACCAGGUCGUAACUGAUCAAGUCGUCAGCAACCACUAAGUUAAGAGAAUAUAUAUAUAUGUGUGUGUGUGUAUGUAUGUAUAUAUAUAUACAUAUAAGCUUCAACACACUUGUUGAUCGCGAUAAUUGACAAAAAUACUAGCUAUGCGCGGGUGAUUCGCUAGUUUCCUGGUUUUUGGUCUUUCCACGAUGAAAAACCGGCGGCUUAAAGCAUGUUGCCAUUAUCAGGAUAAGUCUCGAUAUAAGAUACGAUAAAUCCCGAAAUAAGAUACGAAAGAGAGGGAAGGGGAGGAUAUAAAAGAAAUCUAACCUAAAAAUAUAAUGAAAAAUUAUAAUAUGAAAACGUUAACUUCAUCGAUUAGAAAAUAUUAAAAUAUAUGAUAGGCUUUGGAUAAUAAAAAUCGUUCGAAUUUGUUAAAAUUUUAACAACAAUCGAAAAGUAGCUUUUAUGUUUACAAAAAAAAAAAAAAAAAAAAAAAAAAAAAAGAAAGGAAGAGAAAAAAAGAAAUUGAAAAGGUUGAUUCGAAAGAAGAUAUAGUCAUUUCAGUAUAUAUAUAUCUUCUUUUUUUAUUUCAAGAAUACUAUAUCAUAUCAUCGACAUUUAUGCAAACACAGCUGCAUCAUCGUUGUCGAGAUAGUACGAAGAAAAGUGCUUUCGUUUAUUGUUAUUAUCGAUUUCGAGAUAUUAUUACCGAAUAAGAAUGAUUAUAAUUCUCCUUCGAAAGGCGGGAAAUUUGUAUUAUCGAAUUGAAAUUCGGAUAUUUCAAUAUACGUCGAAUGCGUAUUCUAAUAUUAUUCCGAAUGAGAUAAGAUCGAUUGGAAUAUCAAAAAACAUAACGUUUUAGAGAAAUUUCAAGGUCCACGAUAAAUUGUCCGAAAGAAUAUAUUUUUUAGCAUUACCAAAAUUUACAUUUUUCGUUGUUACACGCGCUUAACAUGUAAUAUUUAAAAGUGAAUGAAGCAAAUAGAUACGAAGCAAGCAAGCAAGAAAACAAGCAAGGCAAGCCAAGCUAAGCAUCUCAUUUCAACACGUAACGUAAAUACAUUAAAUCUCGCACAUGUAUCAAACGUGCUAGUUGGAGAAAGAAAAAAAAAAAAAAAAAAAAAAAAAGAAACAAAAAAAAAAACAAAACAAAAAAGACAAAAAAAAAAAAACGAAAAGCAUGCUUAAGAAAUUGCUUUACUACUUGACUUUAAUUUUAUACAAAAGAAUAUCAGCAUAUGUAAAAAUGAAACGAGCCAGGUAGAAGAAAUCGUCAUUAAGUUGAUAUGGGACAUACUUGAUGGAUCAAAUACAAAGAACUUAUCUAACUUAAAAAGAAAGAGGAAAGAAAAGUCAUAAAAAAAUUUAUGGAUUUUCGUAAACGACCUUGAAAUAUAGAAUCAGACGAAGUACGUGCUGAUUUGGUAAACAUCUAACUAAUCGUUCGAUUUUAUUGUUCAAGGUCAAGUUUCGAAUAAUGCAAAUAUCUCGUUUUUCUUUUUUUUUUUGUUUUGUUUUGUUUUUUUUUCUUAACUACGUUAAGAAAAAAAAAAGUAUUCAACUAAUUUCUUAGGUAAAAUUUCGUGGCAAGUUUCUGUGUCAGGAACGCAUCGUGGAUUCGCUCGCCCUACCGUGAACCCGUAAACUAUAAAGCUGAAACGCAUUCACUGGCAGAACGGAGAUCGUACGUGAUAUUAACAGGGUCGAAGCGGAGAAAUAAAUGAGCGUGUAUGUAUGGAUGUACGUAUGUAAUAGUCAGGACCGUAGCGAAACGGUUGGCUUUGUCCAUCCUGUUUGAGUGAGGUUCCUCCUUACUUUCAUGAGAAAACGUAGGAAGAUAUUACGAAUAGUUAGGUGUGUAUAUAUAUAUUGUACAUGUAUCAUGCCCUAAGCGUGUGAAUUUUCGAUGUAUACACAUAAAUAAAUAAAUUGAAAUGUAAGUAGAUGCAUUGAUUAGCGUUAUGGACGAAUAAACUUAUACAUAAUACGAACGUGACUUAAAAUAUGUUCAUAAACUAUAUAACCGACUUGCAAAUUAGUCGUGGAUUAGAACUCGACGAUGACUAAUAGUCAUCUGAGAAAAUGCUGAACAUUUACGUUUUCGUAUCGAAUUUUUUUUUCUUUCUUUUCCUUCUUUUUUUUAUAUUUCUUUUUUUUUUUGCAAAAUUUUUUAUACACGCUAUUUUGAAAAUUUUGUGUGAUCAUCGAAAAGAAAAUAAUUAAAGCAAUUAACAACGACAUUCUUAAGAUCUAAGAAAAAUUGAGUAUAACGAAAGAAAAAAAUGAAAAAGAAAAAAUAAAAAAAAAAAAAAAAAAAAAAAAAAAAAAAGGAAAAGGAAAGAAAAAAAGGUUUCAAGAUCAAACCGAGAGUGCGAACGUUGUGCUAUGUCGGCAAAAACAGCAUGGAAUCAAUGUCGAGAUAACGAGAAUACUAUAUUUCACCGUUCUUGGUACAGGAUUCUCAUCUAAAUCAGUUAAUGUUUAUUCGUUCGAAAACUUAACUUAAAAGUUGAAAGGAACAAACAAACCAAAAUAACUAUGGAUAAAGAAUAGUUCGAAGUUAAAGAUAUAUAGUCUGAUAUAAAAUACGCGGACUAAUUUAAUCUUUUACCACGCAAGGAAUCGUCGAAUCGCAUCUUUUAUCUUGUAGAAAAAUGUUAACGGAAAUUUCUAAUCUCGAUCGAUAACGAUAACCAUUCAAUCUGAUAUUUCGUUGGAGGUUGAAAUUUUCGUACUUUUUCUCUUUCCUAUCUUUUUUGAAAAUUUAAUUGAUUAUCGAUAAAAACAUUAAAGAAAUUAAAGAAAAUAAGG
This is a long non-coding RNA of Vespa velutina, 4142 nucleotides long. RefSeq lists it as uncharacterized. The transcript is spliced from 3 exons. The record is from RefSeq and is a predicted model, not a curated record. NCBI's taxonomy places the organism in Eukaryota, Metazoa, Arthropoda, Insecta, Hymenoptera, Vespidae.